This 253-nucleotide ribosomal RNA is filed under the name uncultured bacterium. RNAcentral's name for it is "partial 16S ribosomal RNA". It matches the Rfam family "Bacterial small subunit ribosomal RNA", at positions 524 to 776 of the family's 1533-position model. The record is from RNAcentral.
GACAGAGGUGCCAAGCGUUAGGCGGAAUCACUGGGCUUAAAGCGUGUGUAGGCGGGUGCCUAAGUACCUUGUGAAAUCCCCCGGCUCAACCGGGGAACUGCUGGGUAUACUGGGUGCCUUGGGUCAUCUAGGGGCUGCCGGAACAAAUGGUGGAGCGGUGAAAUGCGUAGAUAUCAUUUGGAACGCCAACGGCGAAAGCAGGCAGCUGGGGAUGCACCGACGCUGAGACACGAAAGCCAGGGGAGCGAACGGG